RNAcentral lists this ribosomal RNA (1455 nucleotides) under Lacticaseibacillus paracasei. Its description in RNAcentral is "bacterial SSU rRNA". It matches the Rfam family "Bacterial small subunit ribosomal RNA". Lineage: Bacteria; Bacillati; Bacillota; Bacilli; Lactobacillales; Lactobacillaceae. The record is from RNAcentral.
GCCUAUACAUGCAGUCGAACGAGUUCUCGUUGAUGAUCGGUGCUUGCACCGAGAUUCAACAUGGAACGAGUGGCGGACGGGUGAGUAACACGUGGGUAACCUGCCCUUAAGUGGGGGAUAACAUUUGGAAACAGAUGCUAAUACCGCAUAGAUCCAAGAACCGCAUGGUUCUUGGCUGAAAGAUGGCGUAAGCUAUCGCUUUUGGAUGGACCCGCGGCGUAUUAGCUAGUUGGUGAGGUAAUGGCUCACCAAGGCGAUGAUACGUAGCCGAACUGAGAGGUUGAUCGGCCACAUUGGGACUGAGACACGGCCCAAACUCCUACGGGAGGCAGCAGUAGGGAAUCUUCCACAAUGGACGCAAGUCUGAUGGAGCAACGCCGCGUGAGUGAAGAAGGCUUUCGGGUCGUAAAACUCUGUUGUUGGAGAAGAAUGGUCGGCAGAGUAACUGUUGUCGGCGUGACGGUAUCCAACCAGAAAGCCACGGCUAACUACGUGCCAGCAGCCGCGGUAAUACGUAGGUGGCAAGCGUUAUCCGGAUUUAUUGGGCGUAAAGCGAGCGCAGGCGGUUUUUUAAGUCUGAUGUGAAAGCCCUCGGCUUAACCGAGGAAGCGCAUCGGAAACUGGGAAACUUGAGUGCAGAAGAGGACAGUGGAACUCCAUGUGUAGCGGUGAAAUGCGUAGAUAUAUGGAAGAACACCAGUGGCGAAGGCGGCUGUCUGGUCUGUAACUGACGCUGAGGCUCGAAAGCAUGGGUAGCGAACAGGAUUAGAUACCCUGGUAGUCCAUGCCGUAAACGAUGAAUGCUAGGUGUUGGAGGGUUUCCGCCCUUCAGUGCCGCAGCUAACGCAUUAAGCAUUCCGCCUGGGGAGUACGACCGCAAGGUUGAAACUCAAAGGAAUUGACGGGGGCCCGCACAAGCGGUGGAGCAUGUGGUUUAAUUCGAAGCAACGCGAAGAACCUUACCAGGUCUUGACAUCUUUUGAUCACCUGAGAGAUCAGGUUUCCCCUUCGGGGGCAAAAUGACAGGUGGUGCAUGGUUGUCGUCAGCUCGUGUCGUGAGAUGUUGGGUUAAGUCCCGCAACGAGCGCAACCCUUAUGACUAGUUGCCAGCAUUUAGUUGGGCACUCUAGUAAGACUGCCGGUGACAAACCGGAGGAAGGUGGGGAUGACGUCAAAUCAUCAUGCCCCUUAUGACCUGGGCUACACACGUGCUACAAUGGAUGGUACAACGAGUUGCGAGACCGCGAGGUCAAGCUAAUCUCUUAAAGCCAUUCUCAGUUCGGACUGUAGGCUGCAACUCGCCUACACGAAGUCGGAAUCGCUAGUAAUCGCGGAUCAGCACGCCGCGGUGAAUACGUUCCCGGGCCUUGUACACACCGCCCGUCACACCUGAGAGUUUGUAACACCCGAAGCCGGUGGCGUAACCCUUUUAGGGAGCGAGCCGUCUAAUGGGGG